GACGAACGCUGGCGGCGUGCCUAACACAUGCAAGUCGAGCGAGAAUCUGAUUAUUGAUCCCUUCGGGGUGAUUUAAUCAGAGGAAAGCGGCGGACGGGUGAGUAACGCGUGAGUAACCUGCCUUCAGGAGGGGGACAACAUUCCGAAAGGGAUGCUAAUACCGCAUGACAUUGUUUUAUCGCAUGAUAGAACAAUCAAAGAUUUUAUCGCCUGAAGAUGGACUCGCGUCUGAUUAGAUAGUUGGUGGGGUAACGGCCUACCAAGUCGACGAUCAGUAGCCGAACUGAGAGGUUGAUCGGCCACAUUGGGACUGAGACACGGCCCAG
RNAcentral lists this ribosomal RNA (326 nucleotides) under uncultured bacterium. RNAcentral describes it as "bacterial SSU rRNA". It matches the Rfam family "Bacterial small subunit ribosomal RNA", at positions 28 to 334 of the family's 1533-position model. The record is from RNAcentral.